GAUGAACGCUGGCGGCGCGCCUAACACAUGCAAGUCGAACGAUUAAAGCACCUUCGGGUGUGUAUAAAGUGGCGAACGGCUGAGUAACACGUGGGCAACCUGCCCCUCUCAUUGGGAUAGCCACGGCAAACCGUGGAUAAUACCGAAUACUUCGCGACUUCCGCAUGGAACACUCGAGAAAGCUCCGGCGGCGAGGGAUGGGCUCGCGGCCUGUUAGCUUGUUGGUGGGGUAAUGGCCUACCAAGGCAAUGCUGGGUAGCUGGGGUGAGAGACCGACCAGCCUGACUGGGACUGAGACACGGCCCAGCCUCCUACGGGAGGAAGCAGUGGGGAAUCUUGCACACUGGGCGAACGCCAGAGGCAGCGCCGCCGGGUGCGGGAUGAAGGCCUUCGGGUUGUAAACCGCUUUCAGCAGGGACGAGGCGAAAGUGACGGUACCUGCAGAAGAAGCCCCGGCUAACUACGUG
This 467-nucleotide ribosomal RNA is filed under the name uncultured bacterium. Its description in RNAcentral is "partial 16S ribosomal RNA". It matches the Rfam family "Bacterial small subunit ribosomal RNA", at positions 28 to 507 of the family's 1533-position model. The record is from RNAcentral.